Molecule: transfer RNA, 74 nt
Filed under: Deltaproteobacteria bacterium
Lineage: Bacteria; Pseudomonadati; Myxococcota; Myxococcia
Description: tRNA-Gln
Rfam family: tRNA
About the family: Transfer RNA (tRNA) molecules are approximately 80 nucleotides in length.
Source: RNAcentral
UGGGGGAUCGUCCAAUGGCAGGACUGCGGGCUUUGGACCCGCCAAUCUAGGUUCGAAUCCUAGUCCCCCAGCCA